This 92-nucleotide microRNA precursor is filed under the name Echinops telfairi (small Madagascar hedgehog). RNAcentral describes it as "microRNA 1296 (ENSETEG00000023836.1)". It matches the Rfam family "mir-1296 microRNA precursor family". The record is from RNAcentral. Lineage: Eukaryota; Metazoa; Chordata; Mammalia; Afrosoricida; Tenrecidae.
ACCUACCUAACUGAGUUAGGGCCCUGGCUCCAUCUCCUUUAGGAAAAACUUCUGUGGGGAGUGGGGCUUCGACCCUAACCCAGCUGGGCUGU